UACGAAGGGGGCUAGCGUUGCUCGGAAUCACUGGGUGUAAAGCGCACGUAGGCGGAUCGUUAAGUCAGGGGUGAAAUCCUGGAGCUCAACUCCAGAACUGCCUUUGAUACUGAAGAUCUUGAGUUCGGGAGAGGUGAGUGGAACUGCGAGUGUAGAGGUGAAAUUCGUAGAUAUUCGCAAGAACACCAGUGGCGAAGGCGGCUCACUGGCCCGAUACUGACGCUGAGGCACGAAAGCGUGGGGAGCAACAGG
Molecule: ribosomal RNA, 252 nt
Filed under: uncultured bacterium
Lineage: Bacteria
Description: partial 16S ribosomal RNA
Rfam family: Bacterial small subunit ribosomal RNA
Source: RNAcentral